Molecule: long non-coding RNA, 280 nt
Filed under: Danio rerio (zebrafish)
Lineage: Eukaryota; Metazoa; Chordata; Actinopteri; Cypriniformes; Danionidae
Description: si:dkey-105n5.3 (ENSDARG00000095056.3)
Source: RNAcentral
AGCUGUAACAUCAACACUAUAACACGAGAAUGUCGUUUCACAGCAGAAAUCACACUGGGAAUCACGCCAGAUGACAUGUGCUUGCAGAGAAACACCGCCCAUGCUCUCCUCUGAUUGGCUGUGACUUUGAACAGACAAAUUGCUUCUUGGAAACUGAUUUGUGACCUCAUAAAAAAACAACUUACCAGAGAAAAAGAAGGACCCAACACAAAGCAGGACGAGUGCGCCCACUAUGAGCUGAUUGAGAGAGAAACCUCGCUUCUCCUCCUUCCUGACAGGC